GCCAGGGAACUACGAGCCUUAGCUUAAAACCCAAAGGACUUGACGGUGACCCAUCCGACUAGAGGAGCCUGUUCUGCAACCGAUGAUCCCCGUUAUACCCAACCCCCCCUUGCUUUAUCAGCCUGUAUACCUCCGUCGUAAACUUACCGUAUGAGUGCCCUCGAGUGGGUUCAACGUUUUACUUCACCAAUACGUCAGGUCAAGGUGCAGCCUAUGGUGGGGCAAGCAAUGGGCUACAAUUUCUAAUCUAGAACAUACGAAAUACUGCAUGAAACACAGUUACGAAGGAGGAUCUAGUAGUAAAAAGAAAAUAGCGAGUUCUUUUUAAUACGGCCCUGGGACAUGUACACACCGCCCGU
RNAcentral lists this ribosomal RNA (359 nucleotides) under Nannophrys marmorata (marbled streamlined frog). RNAcentral describes it as "partial 12S ribosomal RNA". It matches the Rfam family "Bacterial small subunit ribosomal RNA", at positions 871 to 1397 of the family's 1533-position model. The record is from RNAcentral. Lineage: Eukaryota; Metazoa; Chordata; Amphibia; Anura; Dicroglossidae.